Molecule: long non-coding RNA, 573 nt
Organism: Amphibalanus amphitrite
Lineage: Eukaryota; Metazoa; Arthropoda; Thecostraca; Balanomorpha; Balanidae
Exons: 4
Source: RefSeq, a predicted model, not a curated record
UCUACUAUCUACUUUUUAUCAGAUUUUUGUCUAUGCUGCUUAUUUUCUGCGAACGAUGGCUGACCUGUCUGCUGAUGCUGAUACAAGCACUAAUUUGGACAGCAGUUAUACGGGCUCUCCGCUUGCUAAGCUAAGCAGUCGUGUGGGUCAGCUACGGGUAUGGCAGGAACAGCAGAGAGCUAGACUUAUCAGGCAACAGGAAGAGACACAACGUGUUUUUGAAGAAAAGCAGAGUGAGCUAGCUGCAUUGAUAGGCAGUCCUGGCUCGGGUGGAGGGUCUCCGGCACGGCAGGCUGGCGAAGGAUCCCAGAGGCCUGCUAACUCUCCUGCCACUAAUUCAUCCAGCACUGCACUGGCUGACAGACAUAACAGCCGUUCAGCCACAGAGACCAACACAAUGAGCCCUCAACGGCAGUCAGAGGGUCCCGGAGCGCCGGCGGAGCACGAGGACACCCCACUGCGGCCGGUCCAGUUCGACACCCUCCUGGAGCGGGAGCUGCAGCGGCAGACGCCGCCGGCGCCGGCGGCCCUGACCGCGGCCGGCCCACCAGCCGCCAAGCGGCCGUUCCUGAA